Molecule: transfer RNA, 54 nt
Filed under: Escherichia coli PCN079
Lineage: Bacteria; Pseudomonadati; Pseudomonadota; Gammaproteobacteria; Enterobacterales; Enterobacteriaceae
Description: partial tRNA-Val
Rfam family: tRNA
About the family: Transfer RNA (tRNA) molecules are approximately 80 nucleotides in length. Their secondary structure includes four short double-helical elements and three loops (D, anti-codon, and T loops). Further hydrogen bonds mediate the characteristic L-shaped molecular structure. tRNAs have two regions of fundamental functional importance: the anti-codon, which is responsible for specific mRNA codon recognition, and the 3' end, to which the tRNAs corresponding amino acid is attached (by aminoacyl-tRNA synthetases). tRNAs cope with the degeneracy of the genetic code in two manners: having more than one tRNA (with a specific anti-codon) for a particular amino acid; and 'wobble' base-pairing, i.e. permitting non-standard base-pairing at the 3rd anti-codon position.
Source: RNAcentral
GGGGUGAUUAGCUCAGCUGGGAGAGCACCUCCCUUACAAGGAGGGGGUCGGCGG